ACCUGUUUUGUUGCUGGUCAUCUAUCUACCCGUGCUUGCCUUGCCUUGCCUGCUCAGCUCCUCUCCUGGAGAGUCACUGGCAGUGCAGAGUGAAGAUGCAGUGCGGCCGCCGUCUUGGCUUGGGCACGCGUGGUUAGAUGACCAUCAGCAAACAAGUU
Molecule: microRNA precursor, 158 nt
Filed under: Oryza brachyantha (malo sina)
Lineage: Eukaryota; Viridiplantae; Streptophyta; Magnoliopsida; Poales; Poaceae
Description: MIR827 microRNA precursor family
Rfam family: MIR827 microRNA precursor family
Source: Rfam by way of RNAcentral